GUGUCAGCCGCCGCGGUAAUACGAACUGUGCGAACGUUAUUCGGAAUCACUGGGCUUAAAGGGUGCGUAGGCGGUUUUCUAAGUCACGUGUGAAAUCUUCCGGCUCAACCGGAAAACUGCGCGUGAUACUGGAUAACUUGAGUGAGGUAGGGGUGUGUGGAACUUCCGGUGGAGCGGUGAAAUGUGUAGAGAUCGGAAGGAACGCCAGCAGCGAAAGCGGCACACUGGGCCUUAUCUGACGCUGAGGCACGAAAGCUAGGGGAGUGAACGGGAUUAGAUACCCCGGUAAUCCUAGCCGUAAACACUGAACACUGGAGGACGGGGGCUUCGGCCUUCGUUCUCGUAGCGAAAGCGUUAAGUGUUCCGCCUGGGGAGUAUGGUCGCAAGGCUGAA
Molecule: ribosomal RNA, 393 nt
Filed under: uncultured bacterium
Lineage: Bacteria
Description: bacterial SSU rRNA
Rfam family: Bacterial small subunit ribosomal RNA
Source: RNAcentral